CCUACGGGUGGCAGCAGUGAGGAAUAUUGGUCAAUGGACGAGAGUCUGAACCAGCCAAGUAGCGUGAAGGAUGACUGCCCUAUGGGUUGUAAACUUCUUUUAUAAAGGAAUAAAACGAGGCACGUGUGCCUUUUUGCAUGUACUUUAUGAAUAAGGAUCGGCUAACUCCGUGCCAGCAGCCGCGGUAAUACGGAGGAUCCGAGCGUUAUCCGGAAUUAUUGGGUUUAAAGGGAGCGUAGAUGGGUUGUUAAGUCAGUUGUGAAAGUUUGCGGCUCAACCGUAAAAUUGCAAUUGAUACUGGCAGUCGUGAGUACAGUUGAGGUAGGCGGAAUUCGUGGUGUAGCGGUGAAAUGCUUAGAUAUCACGAAGAACCCCGAUUGCGAAGGCAGCUUACUAAACUGUGACUGACAUUGAUGUUCGAAAGUGUGGGUAUCAAACAGGAUUAGAUACCCCAGUAGUC
This 460-nucleotide ribosomal RNA is filed under the name uncultured bacterium. RNAcentral's name for it is "partial 16S ribosomal RNA". It matches the Rfam family "Bacterial small subunit ribosomal RNA", at positions 338 to 795 of the family's 1533-position model. The record is from RNAcentral.